AUUCCCAGCCCCCUGUUGGGCGAGGGGUCCCCGUAUUCCCAGCCCCAGAGCCAGCUGCCUGUUGGGCGAGGGGUCCCCGUAUUCCCAGCCCCCUAGCCAGCUCCCUGUUGGGCGAGGAGUCCCCGUAUUCCCAGCCCCCUAGCCAGCUCCCUGUUGGGCGAGGAGUCCCCGUAUUCCCAGCCCCCUGUUGGGCGAGGGGUCCCCGUAUUCCCAGCCCCAGAGCCAGCUCCCUGUUGGGCGAGGGGUCCCCGUAUUCCCAGCCCCAGAGCCAGCUCCCUGUUGGGCGAGGGGUCCCCGUAUUCCCAGCCCCAGAGCCAGCCCCCUGGCAGGGGAGGGGUCCCCAUAUUC
Gopherus flavomarginatus (Mexican gopher tortoise) is the source of this 348-nucleotide long non-coding RNA. RefSeq lists it as uncharacterized. NCBI's taxonomy places the organism in Eukaryota, Metazoa, Chordata, Testudines, Testudinidae. The record is from RefSeq and is a predicted model, not a curated record. The transcript has 3 exons.